This 252-nucleotide ribosomal RNA is filed under the name uncultured Bacteroidales bacterium. Its description in RNAcentral is "partial 16S ribosomal RNA". It matches the Rfam family "Bacterial small subunit ribosomal RNA", at positions 524 to 776 of the family's 1533-position model. The record is from RNAcentral. Lineage: Bacteria; Pseudomonadati; Bacteroidota; Bacteroidia; Bacteroidales.
UACGGAGGAUGCGAGCGUUAUCCGGAUUUAUUGGGUUUAAAGGGUGCGUAGGCGGGCAUUUAAGCCGGCGGUGAAAUCGCGGGGCUCAACCCCGCCGAGCCGUCGGAACUGGGGGCCUUGAGUGGGCGAGAAGUAUGCGGAAUGCGUGGUGUAGCGGUGAAAUGCAUAGAUAUCACGCAGAACUCCGAUUGCGAAGGCAGCAUACCGGCGCCCUACUGACGCUGAGGCACGAAAGCGUGGGUAUCGAACAGG